UUUCGUUUCAGGUUGCGCUAUUUAUUGAUAAAAACGUUGGCGGUAGAUCGGAACUCGUUAAUCCGAGCACGAAGUGCCGCAGUCUAGACGCGUUUCAACCCCCCUAGGACAGCCCUUAGGCCACCCCACCAGUUCCGCACCUCAUCCAACAUCGAUCCAAGAGGAAACUCACCGCUAGCCCUCCUGACUUUUUCCCAGAAUCACCUACUCUUUUUUAUCAGAGGAUAUAUGCAUAUCAGCGUCGACGAGAAGAUAAACGAGAUGAUCGGUGUCCCUCAAUUUUUGAGCACUGGUUAUGCUUUUGCUCAGACCCUGGGCCUUCGCGGACGCCUCGCCCAUUUCGUCCAGAAUCCUGGUCAGUUGUCUUUGAGAUUCUCUGAAACAACAGUGAUCCGAAAUUAAGGCGAGGAGAGUACUUGUGAUGUCGAAAAACUUCCGCAUCAGAGAUUCCCGGCGUCCUUGAAAUUCUAGGCGGGAGAUUCAGCUAUGGAGUUCACGGUAAACUUGGCCUACGUAACUAGGCCACUCGUAUAUUCUGUCUCGAGAAUUACCGGAGAGAGAGAGGACGAACCGCGAUCUUGGCGGAUUUUGCCAAGUGAAAUUCCAUUUACAUAAAUCGUAAGUCCUUAUACCAUAAUAUACGAUUCUUGUACGAGGUCUCGGCGUUUGUUUUAUAAUUCAAUCUCCAUCAAUCGCUUACCUUAAUUCUCUGCAGCCAUUGGGAGGCUCGCCAAAGAGAAUGGAAAAUUAAUGUUUUUUUUUUUUUUUUUUUGAAAAAAAGAAACUGCGGAAAAUCUGACGCAUGAGAAAUCAUUCUAGGAUGUAGAAUCCGUAUGAAAAUUGUAUCUAUUUAUACCGUCGUCGUGUCAUUCGGUGUACGGCGGACGUGGGGUUCGUUGAUGAUCUCGGUCCCUACCGGCAAUCUUUUUAGAAUGUAAUCGUGCCAUAUGGCUUGAUAUUGCAUAAUCACGAAUGGUUAGCAACCGUAAACAAUUAAGGAUCACCUGUUAUUAGCGGCAAGUGAAAAUUUAUUACAGAGAAUUCGCGAUAUCAGAUACGAUACCCUGAUUACGAUUAAUUCGUUUCAUUUAGUUUUUUUUUUUUUUUUUUUUUUUUUCCUUUCUUCAUUGGGAUGAGUAAUAUUUUGAUGCAAGUGAAGAGGGAAUAUGAAUUAUCAGACGACGUACGAUGAUGUCAUUGACGAGAUGCGAUCUGCUAGGAACGUGAAAUCUAUUGUAGUAGAAAAAAAAAAGGGAAAAUAAAAAUCUGCGCCGAGCGAUCUACGACGCGUUUAACGGUUAAUAACAGUAUUGUAUACCUAUGUAUGUAUAAAAUUACUAUGUUUCGAAAAGGUGUAGGCUAAAGUGUUGACCGUUUUAAAGUUUAACGCCCACUUAUUUC
This 1401-nucleotide unclassified non-coding RNA is filed under the name Athalia rosae (coleseed sawfly). RNAcentral's name for it is "misc RNA ENSAEAG00005011476.1". The record is from RNAcentral. Lineage: Eukaryota; Metazoa; Arthropoda; Insecta; Hymenoptera; Athaliidae.